GGUUAGGUAGUCUAACUAAGACGUAGAUUUGUAAAAUCUAAAAUGAGUUUCUCCCUGACCG
Molecule: transfer RNA, 61 nt
Filed under: Doliolum nationalis
Lineage: Eukaryota; Metazoa; Chordata; Thaliacea; Doliolida; Doliolidae
Description: tRNA-Tyr
Source: RNAcentral